GUYUUUUAGUAAUUUAUUUAAAGUYUAACCUGCCCAUUGAUUUUAUUUAAAAGGCUGCGGUAUUAUGACUGUACAAAGGUAGCAUAAUCAUUAGUUUUUUAAUUGAGAACUUGUAUGAAUGGUUGAAUGAAACAUUAGCUUUUUUUAAAAAAAGAUUGAAUUUUACUUUUUAAUUAAAAGGUUAAAAUUAAAUUAAAAGACGAGAAGACCCUAUAGAGUUUUAUAAUUAUAUAAGUAUCUACAUUAAUAAAGAUUAAAAAUUAUUAUAUUUAUUAAAUUAUUUUGUUGGGGUGAUAAUAAAAUUUAAAUAACUUUUAUUUUUUUUUUACAUUAAUAUAUGAAUAAUUGAUCCAUUAAUAUUGAUUAAAAGAUUAAAUUACCUUAGGGAUAACAGCGUAAUUUUUUUUUAAGUUCAUAUUAAUAAAAAAGUUUGCGACCUCGAUGUUGGAUUAAGAUUAAUUUUAGGUGCAGAAGUUUAAAAUUUUAAGUCUGUUCGACUUUUAAAUUCUU
Molecule: ribosomal RNA, 510 nt
Filed under: Trichosia sp. 3 nr. morio SS-2012
Lineage: Eukaryota; Metazoa; Arthropoda; Insecta; Diptera; Sciaridae
Description: partial 16S ribosomal RNA
Source: RNAcentral